This is a long non-coding RNA of Trichomycterus rosablanca, 1719 nucleotides long. RefSeq lists it as uncharacterized. The transcript is spliced from 3 exons. NCBI's taxonomy places the organism in Eukaryota, Metazoa, Chordata, Actinopteri, Siluriformes, Trichomycteridae. The record is from RefSeq and is a predicted model, not a curated record.
UUGCUAUAGAAAGGUGCAUUCCAAAAUCUACUGGUAUGUUCUUAUUGGGGACUGGUAGCAGGGUCCCCUCAUAUAUGUAGUUUGGGUGCCUAAAAGUAUACAAUAUAUGCUUAACCACAGCAAUAAUUCAUCAUUUAAUUUAUUUUCUGCUACAAUGUUUAUGCCUUUAAAUAAGUUCCAAUUUUAAGAAUAAUGUCAAACUUAAAUAGCACAGCUGACUUUAUAAGACCUUUUAAUAUGGUAAAUAACACUAAUUGUGUAAUAAAACAUUUAAAAGCCAUACAGCUAAUGCUUUAAUUUACUACUACAACCUGCAAUUCUACUAAAAUGUUAUGUUUUUUUUCUUUAUUUGAAUUAAUCAAGGCAAUGCACCAAAAAUAUGCCACAACUGCUAACAUUAUUAAAAAGUUUAUAUGUUUAUUUUUUAUGUAUGUUUAUUUUAUGUAUAUUAAUGGUAACAGAGAAUUGUAAUUAUCCGCCAUGGAAUGUAGUGAUGUGCAAAUUGUUAAUAUUGCAGAAUGUAUGAAAGCAAAACAUUAAGUGAUAUUUCAGGUUAACACUGGACUAGGAAAGCACACUUAAUGUAACAUGACCUUUGUUACAUUACACUGCCAUGUCAAUGCCAUGAUAUGAAGGUACAUGCCUCAUAUGUUAAACUGACCAUCAGCCCUCGCCACCAUGAAACAAUCCAACAGUCACAAACAGUAAUUUCAUUCAAGUGGUCCUGGUGUAUUGUUCCAAGAAGAUUUAGGAUGUCUGACCCUACCUCCACUCAUAACAUCUGGAAGAACCUAAAUGUGAUGCUGAACAGUUGGUACUUAAAUUAUUCAGAACCAAACAUGAAACAAUAGAAGACAGUAUUAAAACAGAAGUUUACCAGCAAUCUUCAUCUACAGACAUUCAGAUCUUCAGUGAGGUUUUCACUCCUUUCUUCUGUUGCUUCUGCUGUAUCAUUUGCACAAAAAUUGAGGCUAGGGUUACCCUGAAGUUUUCUUUGGAUAUCAUACCAGGAACUGACUGUCAUGGAAUGGGCAUUCUCUACCGUUACCAUCUACAAUUUGGAUUUUUGGGGUUAAAAAGCACAUUUAAUGGACUCAUGUUGAAGACUGACUAUACAGUCACUAAGACACAUUUUGACAUUCAAGUUUUAUAUCUUAUAACUUUUUUAAUUUUCAGUUUCACUGUAUCAUUAGGUUGUGUGAUUCAUUUAAAAUGCAUUCCCCUUGUCUUAAUUUACCCAGUGUGUGCUACUGUAUUCUACACCAAUUUGAGGUCAUCAAUAUUAAUUAACACAAAUACCACCCAUAAGAUGUGUGUGCUUGCUUUUUUGUUGUUUUUAAAUUUCCAUCAUCAGCAAAGAUUUGUUUUCAGCCAGUGUUUUUUUUUUGGUUCACAAAUCCAUGUUUAUGUUGUUUUUUUAAGUACUUGAUUUGUGUAUAUCUUCAUAAUUUUCUUUCAGUUUUUCUUGUUUUUGAUAUAUUCUGUAAUAUAUUUUCUUUGCAUGGUUUUCUAACUUAUCAGAUGUUAUAAAAAUUAAGAUGAAGUGCAUAUAUAUAAUCCCAAUGACAAGUGUCAGCAUUGCUAGACUAAUUGAUAUGUAUGAAUACAACUUAUCUUUGCAUGUGCUAUGUUUCUGAAGAGAUAUAAUGGUGGACGAAAUUACAUUUCAUUUUAAUAACACCACCUGGUAAUGUAAAUAAAAGGCUUUUGAAAAAUUCA